This 7065-nucleotide long non-coding RNA is filed under the name Lactuca sativa (garden lettuce). Its description in RNAcentral is "long non-coding RNA (LSAT_LNC001451)". The record is from RNAcentral. Lineage: Eukaryota; Viridiplantae; Streptophyta; Magnoliopsida; Asterales; Asteraceae.
AUUAUGUAAACAUUUUUAAAACCUUUAUAUAUGUAUGGUGGUGUGUACUUUCCUUUCUAUGAACUGUUAUGAUACUGAAUAUGACGUCCUCCGCCCCCGAACGUUUCCGCCGUUCUGGUUUGGGGGUGUGACAGAUUGGUAUCAGAGCAUUGUUUAUAGUGAAUUAAGUAUAUCAAAACCAUUUUGGUAUACAACUAUAAACACAACUGGGCAAAAACACUCUGAGUAAGAGUCAUACUUUUAAAAUUAAAUUUAUUUAAUUUUUGAAAAGUGGGCAUGCAUGCAUUUCAUAUUAAUAACAGGGUCAGUAUCAUAAUUAAAACAAUAUAGAAGUAUUAAAAAUAAGUUGUGCAGUACAGGUAUGCCUUGGGACAUGUAAUCGGAACUGGGAAGAAUAUAGCCUGAUCAACUAUAUUUGUGCAAGAGCCGACUAACGUAUGCCAAGGAGUGUCUGCAAUGGACAACAAAUUUAAAACUUACCAAAAGCAUAUCGUAAAAUAAUACUAACGGAGUAUUCGAGUGCCUUCAACCAUUAAACUUAAGAGUAAACUCCAUGUGCUUUAGCUUAUAGUCAAUUCUUAACCCUAUUCUCGUAUAGACUCAAAUGGCUGGAUUCCAUCACCCCGGUGACCCAUACUACCCCAACCAAGGUAAUGGAGAAAGGAUAGAGAAUGAUCUUGAUGAAGGAAUGCAAGAAGAAUCAGACUCAGAUCCCGAGGACAAUAACCUACCCUUAACGGCUCCAAUUCAAAAUCCUAAUCCUCGACCGUAAUUUCAUGGCUCGACGACCCUUUGGGCAACUAACCUGAAUAGGUGGAGCCGCGAACAAGAUCAACCCCUUCCAUUCAACGGAGACCGAAGCUUCUACAAUCUAAGCGAGGGAGGCUCAGCAGACAGAGCCCUUCCUAUAUUGGUUCGUCGGAUUUCUCGCAUUGGCGAACAAGGACGGACGACCAUCCAUCGAACUGAGGAGAAUGAUGCGAACACUGGAGUCAACACAGUUCGCAUCCGACAGUUAGGAUUAGCUCAUGGGAGAAUCAUAAAUCGAAAUGAAGCGUUGCAGAGAGAGCAAAGGGUAACUCAAACCGAAGUGAUAGAACUUCGGGCACGCCAGGCAAGACAUGAACUACGUAUGCUCGAGAUGGAGCGUCAGUUGGCGGAAUCUAAGGCCAAUGUAGCCAGCUCGCGUAACAAAUAAUACCUGUCUGACUUCCGAAAUUUUGUCAUAGCAUAAGACCUCAGAUAAAGUCCUUACUUUUCUUAACCUUGUAAUCGGAGACCUUUAUAUAGGUCAAAUUUUCCUAACUACAAAAUGUAACGCACCAUGUUUUAUAAUAUAUAUGAUGUAUUUCCUUUAUUAAACCCUUUGCAUACCCCUCAAAUUCAUGAGUUUAUUUACUCUCCUUAUGAGUCGAACUCAGAACCCUAUUCAAGGGUUAACCAAACUUCUAACAAAUCACUAAUGGGCAACUUUCGAAUCAUUAAAACUUAUAACUUUUCUUGUUAUUUCCUUAUCAAAACAAUGUCUCCUCGUAGAUCAGCACGUAGAAACGCAACCCCACCCCACCUCCCCNUGACCCCAACAUAGUGCAAUCUGCUAUCACUGCGGCAGUAACAGCUCACUGUCUCAAGCAAACUUUAGCGGCACAGCAAGGGCCGGAAAUAAUCAACUUACUAACGCAACCCCAUUCCUACAAUUGGACACCGCCACUUUGCAAGCUACAGUUAUAGCCACAGUGGCAGCCAUCAUAGCAUAUAAUAACUCGGUCAACUCAAGCAGGGAAGGAAACUAUAUCAAAAAUCCUAAUCAAAGAAACAAUCGAAGCUACCUACCAGUAGCUACCUAUAAGAAUACCGCAAGGUGCGAACACAAGAACAUGAAACGAAAACCCUGGAGCGAGAAGGGAGGUAAACCAACUCAAAGAAAUGCCAAAAAGCAAUCAAAAAACCAUACACCUACACCCACAAGGUCGUACAAAGGCAACCAGCCUAAGUGCAACCGAUGCAACUUUCAUCAUCACGGCCCCUGCCGUGAAAUGCAUUGUUUUAGGUGCAAUAAAAAGGGACACACCGUCCGCUACUGCAGAGAACUAGCCCAACCAACGGCUCUAGCCACAAUGUGGGAGUAGACCGUGCUUGUUAUGAGUGCGGAGUAACGGGACCCCUCCGAAGGGACUGCCCGGAGUCAAACAUCAUGAAUGCUGGUGGAGGAGGCCGAGUAUUCGCAAUGGGCCAAGAGGUGGCUAUUGUAGACCCCACGGUUAUUCUGGGUACAUUUCUCCUCGAUAACUUAUUUGCAUACAUUCCAUUUGAUAGUAGGGACGCAGAGGAGUUUCGUGAAUCACAAGUUUAAAAAUCUACUCGAACAAACACCCCAAUCAUUCAAUAGAACUUUCAUAGUAGUAAUAAUAGAGAUAGACUAAAAAGCACUAAAAACACAUACGUAUAAUUCAUUAUCCCACUAACAUGCGUCUUACAAUGAGAAGUACCGACAAAGGAGUCGAGAGUUCCGAUGGUAGUACCAAACCGGGAAACCAACAAAUGGCAACAGUCAUAGACUUGCGAAGCCAUAAGACCGAAAGGAAGNNNNNNNNNNNNNNNNNNNNNNNNNNNNNNNNNNNNNNNNNNNNNNNNNNNNNNNNNNNNNNNNNNNNNNNNNCCACAUAACACUGGCUAAACACCUCACUCCCGCCACUAAGGCUAGCACUAGCCAGUCAUGCCACCAAUGCGAGGAGAUAAGGGCACCUCAAGAAGGAUUGCCCUAUCACAAAGAAUUCUGGCAUAGACGGUAGGAUUCUCAGGACCACAGUUGCAGGAGAACCUACUCCGAACCCACAUUAAUGUAAUUUAGGCGUUUCGUUGUAACAGACUUAUAAACCAUCCAAAACUAGUGCAACCAGAGCCUUGUCUUUUGCGGGAUCCCGUCGGUAUAGGGAUGCUCAUGCUGCGUAUACUUGCCUUUUGUAGUAUACCUUAUUCGCAGCAAUAGUCUUGUAGUAGUCUAAAGUACUGUAACUCUGUUGAUGGUUGCACGGUUAUGUUUUGUCUAUAAACGUCUUUUGUUCAAAUCUAAUGUCUUUAACUUUCCUUAUGAUUCUGACAUUAUCAUAUGACUUGAUUCAAUUUGAUUCUCACAAAAACAGCUUCAUACGUACAUCUCUUUCUUCGAAAUCACCUUUCCAGUGAAGCCGUCAUAUCAGAACACCAAUUACUCAUGAAUGGAGUACCUCAUAGUUCUUUUCCUUUCCGAAGAAAUCCCUGAAGUGCCACUCGUACAGUACGUUAAGUUCAAAUCCAAAGAUCCAUAUGGUUGAUCUGUCACUGAUGAAUGUAUACUUAGGGGUGAUAUAUAAUCAAGGUUCUACAGGUUUAGAAUUGACGAUUCCACUUUAACUUCUUUUUCCUCGAUGGGAUGUGAGCUUAAAGAAGAAUCAGUUAUUCGACUACCUUUUCAAUCUUAAUUAUAUACGACUCGUAUACAGGAGAUUAUGAUCGUUGAACCAUGUAUGAGUUCUAAUAUGAACUUUAGGACGGAGACUGCCUAAGACUACGAGUGAUCGUCCUGCCAUACAAAUAAACUUAGAAGCCCAACACAUGCCCUUUCUGUCGAUUGGUACAAGAGAGACAGAUACAACAAAAAUACCUAUCCUUUUUCCUUAAUUCGGGAGUAAUCAUACUUUCUUUUAGAUCUUCAUGACAUCUAAUCCACUUCCAAGAUUUUGACAUCAAAAUCAGUAUGAAUUGGUUGUAUUCUUAUGCAAGAGGAAAGGUCACUGCCUAUACCUCAAGACAGCUAAAGACACAAGAAGUUAACUAUACAACACAUGAUCUUGAGUCAGGAGCAGCAGAAAUUACUUUGAAGAUGAGGAGACACUACUUGUAGGGUACAAGAUGUACUACUCUCACAGUCCACAAAAACAUUCAACAUAUGUUCGACCAAGAAGAAUUAUCAUGCCAGUGAAGUCAAACGAAAGAAGCAAAGUCAUAUCCCGAUAGUGAAAGGUUCGUUGGACUGCCAAGCGAGGAACCGAGUUCAAUUAAGAACAUGAGGAGCAAAUAAAACUUCUAUCCGUAGCACGAACUCUAAUUUCGGGACGAAAUUCCCUCUAACGGGGGGAUGAUGUGACAACCCGAUAUUUCGAGACAAUAUGAUGGAACACAAGUCAAAUUUAUAUCAAAAUUUUACUUUCCUAAAAUCUUAUUUGGGUUAAAUAAAGUAGUGGGAAUCGUAUCAAUGUUUUCGUACAUAUAAAGAACCCUAAAAUCCGAGUUAUAACGAAGAAGUUAUGACCAAUCGAAGAUUCUCGGCAAAACCGGCAACACUGAUAGACGUAAAACGCGAAGUUUCAAUACAAUAAUGUUUAGCCUUAGGUAUCUAAAUGAAAGUUUUAGAUAUCAUUAAACUGUAAACGUACAUCAAAAGAACAUCCAAAUCUGACUUCGUAUGAGGAAGUUAUGAUUUUUGUAAGUUACGGAUAUAGAAGUAGACAGCUAAAAACACGAACUAGAGAUCGAGAGACUUUUAGCCGACACAAACUAAAUGAGAAUCGAAGGUCUCAACAAUAGAAGCGCAACGGUAAAAAGUCUGACGAAAACGAACGUCGGAUGAAAAAGUUAUGGAACUUUAACGGACUUUUCCUAUCCUGACGUAUUAAAAAUAUAAUAUUAAAAAUAAAGUCAAAAUUUGCCAACGGAGUCUAAACAAAACUUGUAGAUCGUAGUCUCAGCUUCGUGUGGAUAUUAAGAACAUCGAAAACGGAGUUCGUAUGACGAAGAUAUGAAUUUUAGAAGUUUGCUAAAUAAUAAAUAUAUAAAUUUAAAAUGAAUUCCGGUAUUAUCCGAAGGGGGAGUCACCGGCCUGAUCCGAGUUACGCCCAGCGUAACCGGGUGCUAGGCCUCGGUUCGGCCACGUCGCCCCUACUCCUCUAUGCCCUCCCAUCCGAAGUACGUAAGCGAUGACGUCUCGUACGCCCCGCGUACCGAGGUCUUUCAGCCCCUAUAUAAAUGGUGUGAGGCUGUCGGCCAUAUUUGCUAAUUUCCUACCUUUCUCGUGCCGAAGCUCUGCGUUUCAACCCUCGGAGUCAUCCCAAGGACCCGGUUUUCAUAUCCAGGUUUGGAAGGAAGUUUUACGCUCCCGAGAUUCCCGAGAAAUCCGCUUUCUCGAGUAGAAGUUCUGCUCGGUUUUCGUCUCGCUUUCUUCAAUCUAUCAAGUGAGUUCAUACCCCUACAACCACACUUUAAAUGCUUUUUAAACACUUUUAAGGGGGGAAUACAAGUAAACACACGACUAAAAUCGUGUGAAACAUCGAUCUUUUGCUAUACUUUUCAUACUGUUGUUUUAACUAUCUUAUGAAGUCAUUAUCAUGCAAAACACCUCACAACACAGCUUUACCCUCUUGGGAUACAAUAUGUUUUAUAAAUAGAAAUAAUGUUUUAUUUAUACGUUUACAUACAAAUACAUCAUAUCAAGGGUAACAUUCUUUAAUAAAUCAUUUUAUGCAUUCAAAGAACUUAUGAUUUAUGCUUUGUCAAACAUUGUGAAAAAGGAUAAACUUUGCAUACAAAACUACUACUUUAAUACAGACUUAGUUGAGAAUCCGUGAGACGUGUAUAUCUUCAAAUAAUACCUUUUUGCUAAAAGGUACCGCUACAAGUCCUGUCUAUAACCAGAGUCUCCCGUUCGGAGAACGUGUCAAAUGUGUAUAGAUCUAUACGGGAAGUCAUGAUCCCGCGCCCUGACUGUUAGCUACAGUCCGUCUUUUGGGGUGACAGUUGGCAUAACGCUACGACGCCUGAAGAACGUCGCUACAGGCAUAUUAUGUUUAGUAUGGUUAUAAAACUCAUCGGAUAUACAAUUAUUAUGGUAUUAUGCUUUUAUGAACGAGUAGCUAUUAAAACUAUUCUUCAUCUAACAAGUGCGAUCUUCGUAUAGCUUUAUUAUAUAAAACUAUGCCACACCUUUUAAGCACGUCGGUUGCUUGCGAUUUUCGGUCUUAGAGACUGCCAGUUAUGUUAGGAAAAUAAGGGUUUUUCCUGCAUCUAAAACAAACAACUAAUAGGAAAAUAAGGGAUUUUCUUGGUGCAAUUAUUUACAACUUAUAACACGAACAUUCAUAUGCAUUUCAUACUUUUAUAAGAAAAUAAGGGUUUUUCUUGGAAAACACAACAAAUCAUAUCUCAACUAUUAGGGAAAAUAUGGGAUUUUCUGGAUCUAAUACAUUCAUUUUCAACACAACGAAUCAUAACUCUUUACAUUUGAAAUACUGCGUUUUCUGGAAAACAUACACGAACUUUCGAAUGGCGUACAUUUUCUCAAAACACUACUUAUGAACUCACCAACUUAAUUGUUGACACUUUUUCUUUGAAAUAACUUGUAUUCUCAGGGAACCGCUAAGCAGGUUUGGAAAUCAACUUUUGGGGAUUAACGUGCUGACGUUAAUUACUUCUUUUGAAAGAUGUUUAUGUAUUUAUCUUUUGAACAUGUAACGAAUACAAUUAUGUAAACAUUUUGGAAACCUUAAUAUAUAUGGUGGUGUGUACUUUCCUUUCUAUGAACUGUUGUGAUACUGAAUAUGACGUCCUCCGCCCCCGAACGUUUCCGCCGUUCUGGUUUGGGGGUGUGACAGAUUGGUAUCAGAGCAUCGUUUAUAGUGAAUUAAGUAUAUCAAAACCAUUUUGGUAUACAACUACAAACACAACUGGGCAAAAACACUCUGAGUAAGAGUCAUACUUUUAAAAUUAAAUUUAUUUAAUUUUUGAAAAGUGGGCAUGCAUGCAUUUCAUAUUAAUAACAGGGUCAGUAUCAUAAUUAAAACAAUAUAGAAGUAUUAAAAAUAAGUUGUGCAGUGCAGGUAUGCCUUGGGACAUGUAAUCGGAACUGGGAAGAAUAUAGCCUGAUCAACUAUAUUUGUCCAAGAGCCGACUAACGUAUGCCAAGGAGUGUCUGCAAUGGACAACAAAUUUAUAACUUACCAAAAGCAUAUCGUUAAAGAAUACUAACGGAGUAUUCGAGUGCCUUCAACCAUUAAACUUAAGAGUAAAUUCCAUGUGCUUUAGCUUAUAGUC